CCUACGGGAGGCAGCAGUGAGGAAUAUUGGUCAAUGGCCGUAAGGCUGAACCAGCCAAGUAGCGUGAGGGAAGACUGCCCUAUGGGUUGUAAACCUCUUUUAUGAGGGGAUAAAGGUGUCCACGUGUGGAUGUUUGCAGGUCACUCAUGAAUAAGGACCGGCUAAUUCCGUGCCAGCAGCCGCGGUAAUACGGAAGGUCCGGGCGUUAUCCGGAUUUAUUGGGUUUAAAGGGCGCGUAGGCCGGUCUUUAAGCUUGCCGUGAAAUUAUGUGGCUCAACGUGGAUAGUGCGGCGCAUACUGGAGACCUUGCGUGCGCGGAAGGCAGGCGGAAUGCGUGGUGUAGCGGUGAAAGGCUUAGAUAUCACGAAGAACCCCGAUUGCGAAGGCAGCCUGCCGCAGCGUUACUGACGUUGAAGCUCGAAAGCGCGGAUAUCGAACAGGAUUAGAUACCCUAGUAGUC
RNAcentral lists this ribosomal RNA (460 nucleotides) under uncultured bacterium. RNAcentral describes it as "partial 16S ribosomal RNA". It matches the Rfam family "Bacterial small subunit ribosomal RNA", at positions 338 to 795 of the family's 1533-position model. The record is from RNAcentral.